This 350-nucleotide unclassified non-coding RNA is filed under the name soil metagenome. RNAcentral describes it as "partial contains 5.8S ribosomal RNA, internal transcribed spacer 2, and large subunit ribosomal RNA". The stretch from base 1 to 120 matches the Rfam family "5.8S ribosomal RNA", at positions 35 to 154 of the family's 154-position model. The record is from RNAcentral.
GAUGAAGAACGCAGCGAAAUGCGAUAAGUAAUGUGAAUUGCAGAAUUCAGUGAAUCAUCGAAUCUUUGAACGCACAUUGCGCCCGCCAGUAUUCUGGCGGGCAUGCCUGUUCGAGCGUCAUUUCAACCCUCAAGCCCAGCUUGGUGUUGGGGAUCGGCACAGGCGCCCUCGGGCGCCCGCCGUCCCCUAAAUCUAGUGGCGGUCCCGCUGCAGCCUCCUCUGCAUAGUAGUUUUCUCCUCGCAAGGGCAGCUCGGUGGCGACCUCGCCGUAAAACCCCCAACUUCUGAAAGGUUGACCUCGAAUCAGGUAGGAAUACCCGCUGAACUUAAGCAUAUCAAUAAGCGGAGGA